UGUUUAUUGAUCAGUGUCGGGUACAAGCGUCACAUGUCUGAUAACUUAUGAAACAGAACCGCAGGACAUAAAUUCACCAAACCGAGGAGAUCGAACGACUGAACAAAGGCACACAAACUUCGUCUUGUCAGUCGACUGGCUCCCACGCGCGCCGUUCGGGGGCCGGCUGCACGGAACGUGGGUAGGUGCAGAACUUGGUGGCUGAGUGCGGAGCACUUUAGUGGAAUUCAUCCCACAGAAGGUCCCAGUGUCAGAACCAAUAAAAUGCCCGUAAGAAAUGUGAAUGACAAAUAAAAAGAAUGCAUUAAAGGCUAAAUAUUGAAUAGAAAAUAGAGUUAUGCUUCAUUAUAAAGAAAUAGUUGUAAAAGGUUGUAAGCCACGUCAUGCUGUAUGUGUGUAUUUUUGAUACAGUCAAUGGUGUAGAGUUGUCUUGGGGGACCUGAAGGGUCUAAAUUAGUGUUAAUGACUCAAGUUGGUCGAACCUCGAAGGGGCCCUGAAUGGAAUGAAUUUCCCUACUUAAUAUAAGAUGAAUUACCUCCAUACACGGGGAAUUCAUCACAUACUGAUGUCCAGUGUAGAAAAAUCAAAUUCACAAAAAUAUAAAUAACAAAAUAGAGCAGAAAGCUAAAUAAUGGAUAAGAAAUAGCUUUAGAAUAGAGAGUAGGAUUUAUUUUCAAAGAAAACAAACUUUUUCCAGAAGUUCUUAGUCGUUACGUCAUUCACAAUGUCUGCAUUUUUAAACAACCAGUGGUUGUAGCUUUUUUUGAGAACGGGAAGCGAUUAAUAACUCCGAAUAUUAAAAACUUUGGGGCCAAGUCUGAGAUGAAUUCCUGUCUUGGAGCCCUGUAGCUAGGCGUCGGUGCCUAACGAGGUUCCAUGAUGCCAGGCCCAGUGUGGAAAACAUUGUGCGUCACCGCCGUGACCUCCGAUCCACAGUGCCUUGAGGUCGGGGGAGAGAAGGGGAUGAGAAAAGAAACAAGCUUUAAUGCAGACACUUCUUUUUGCCCCCGUGAAAGGAUCGUCAGGAAACAGAAACCGGCCAGCGUGGGUGCGGACAUCAGUCACAGCAUGCAGUUCAGUCACGUGACCCGAUCAGAGCAAGCGACGGACGACCAAAGGUCAGGUGUCGGACGGACUGACCCCGGGGAAGGUGGUGGGUGGGCUGGAGCUUGCGCGCGCUGGCGGGACAGGUAGACAGCGCCCUCUGCCAAUCAAGACGUCACCUGGCGCGCGUGCGGGUGCGUGAUUUACUCGCAGCGGCUCUCGCUGUGCACCCAGAAUAGAAGUGGUAAUGGACAGGUGAGGAGGUGGCGGGGCGAGCGUUAGUUCCAGAGGCCCCCAUAAAAAAUGGUCGAGCCUGUGUUCCGGUCUAAAAAUAGCUGAUGUGGAAUCAUGGGAUUUUGAGCUUCACCGGCGUCACUGGGGUGUACGCGCUGCCAUGGCUUUGUCAAUGAGUCAGUCGAUGAAUGAAGAAGCUGAUCAGUCGACGAAACUUCCAGUCCAUCGUUUGAUCAAUCAGUCGCUUAAUCCACGGAUCUCUUUGUCAAAUGCAGACGCGUGUGCGAUUUUAGGUGUGUGGGUGGGUGUGUUCGUUUGUGCAUUGCGAAACUGUUCAUACGUGUAUUGUUUUUUUUCUUUUUAUUAGUAGACAUGUUGUAUGUUUUGUUGCUUUGUCACUGUAUGUUUUUUUGUGCAUAUGUGUAUUGCAUGUUUAUUGUGCACAUGGGAACAUUGUGUAACACGAGAUAUUAGGAGCCAUGCGAGUAAAAAUUUUGUGUGCGUGCAUUUGUAUGUGCGUGCGCGUGUGUGAUUUAUUAAUUUUUUUAUUGUUUACCUUCCUUAAUGUAUUUAUCACUGUGCUGCGCUCAAAGGUUCAAUUGUGAGAAGUAGAUAUGUUUCUCACUAUUCCUACCACCAUCACCAGUCACCACUACCAUCAACAGCCUUCAAAGGUCACCAGCUGCUGCUAGCCUCGUGACGUGCUGAUCCCUGGCUCCGCUGGAGACAAUCCUGGCGUGAACGUCACGGGACCGUGCCGUCACUUCAUACUGAGAUGAAAAAGCCGGUAGGACGAGAGAUGCUCGACAGGUGUGUGUGUGCACGUGAGUGUGUGUGUGCGCGCGCGCGCGCGCCGCGCUGGGUACGGUUAUUUUAAGGAGGUGGUGUUAUCUUGCGAGCCUGCGAUUAGACGGCACUUAAAGCUGGGUAGUCUGGAAACCUACCCGUAGUAGCAGCAGCCCGGAAAGUGUUCCGUCCUUCCGGUCUAAAGCAGCAAUCAUUUGAUGGAUGGAUGGAUUUCAAUGGACAGCAGGUAACUAGGGAAAAAAUUCUUGGUAGCGAGAAGAUGACUGAUGAUAAGAACAAGGUCUGUUUACCAUACACAGGCAGUCGAAAAUGAGAAGAAAAUACGGCCUUUCAAAAUGAUUUCUAAAGCGACGAUAAAUUAGAAGAAGAAUACAUUAAAGGUUCAUCAUCAUUCAAUGCAUCAAAUAUAUCAUCAUCGUAGUCGUCAGCUUCAUCUGAAACGAUAUAACUUGGAUGCAAAUUUGGAUGGAAGGAUUGAGUUUAUACGACCUUUGCCCCACAAUACCCCAGAAUCCAUUAAUAACUUAAAUCAUCUCGAAAUGAAUAGCAUGUUGGGCGAGGGAGGCAUUGCGCGGCUGAUUUGACAAAAAAAAAAAAAAUAAAUAAAUAAAAAUUGAAGUCUAAGGUUCUUGACAAACGGCGGGGGAGGUCGAAUCCUGUGAGGGUUCCCGUAGAAUUCUUUUCAUCCUGCGUUAUGUGUUUGGAUGGCUAUGGCUUAGUCGAAGUAAAUCUGUUCCGACAAAGUGGUGGUAAUCCGUGGUAGUCUGUGGUGGUGGUCGUCGUCGUGGAGGUGGUGAGUACUCUUGAUCCCGAGACAACGGCCUUCUUCACAGCCACGACAUUUUCAUGUCCAGCAGCGAAAGGCGCAGCUCCAUGAUGAACACCUCUAUCGACAUUAUACAUCCCUACAAACAUCAGUAUCAACAUCACGACUGCCAUUACUGCCGCCGCCAUCAUCAUCCCUACAACAACCUUAUCAUUAUCAUAAUUACCUUCAUCCCAUUAGUAAUUUUUUUUUUUGUUCAUGGUCUCCAAGGCAGGAAACCCAUCAAUGACCUAACGGUGCGGACGAGGGCCAACUCACACUGAGUGAAGCAGUGGAUGGGAGGUGGACGCAAGGAGGUGCCUGUCUUCCCCAGGGUUUCCAGGGGCAGAAGCCAGCAAAACUUUCUACAGGCCAUUUAGCCUCCUUUUCUCCCAGCUCCUCCUCUUCCUCAAGACAGGAAUGAAAAAAAAAAAAAAGGUCCAGAACCCAAACAGAUGACGUCGUGUCUGAGUCGCUAAACGGUUCGACACGUCCCCGACUUACUGCACUGCACUGCACGGCGCGAGCUGCCGGACCAGCACCGGCACGUGACCAGCAAGGGGAGAGCACUGCGCGCGGGAAGCCCGAGCUCCUAAUGAUACCCGACACAUACACACCGGUUCCAGCGCCAGUUUGAAGAAGCCGAGCUGUGAGUGUAAGAGUGGUCCAAAGAGUUCAGUGAAGAUCAAGUCCCGUGGAUUCACAUUUCGUCUCGGGCACGCUGUUCUUUUCCUGCGUGAUGCACAUACUGUAUCUGUCCAACGGUAUGUUGUUGUUUUUUUUUGUUAGCUUGUUUUUUUUUUGUUUAGAGUUUUUUGUAUUUUUGCGCUUGGUUGGCUUUUCUUGGUUCAGUGUUUUU
Long non-coding RNA from Pomacea canaliculata, 3750 nucleotides. RefSeq lists it as uncharacterized. The transcript is spliced from 3 exons. Lineage: Eukaryota; Metazoa; Mollusca; Gastropoda; Architaenioglossa; Ampullariidae. The record is from RefSeq and is a predicted model, not a curated record.